This 2674-nucleotide long non-coding RNA is filed under the name Gossypium barbadense (sea-island cotton). RNAcentral's name for it is "long non-coding RNA (GBAR_LNC010685)". Lineage: Eukaryota; Viridiplantae; Streptophyta; Magnoliopsida; Malvales; Malvaceae. The record is from RNAcentral.
AGAAAAAUAAUUAAAAUGGCCUUAUUACAACCCAAAACCAGAUAAUAAUAAGAUAAAACUUAUAAAGAAAUAAAUCGGCUACUUAUUACAAUUUAAAGAACCAGAAACAGAAGUGUGGCCAUCUCCGAGUCCCUCGCAGCUCCAAACCAUCUACGCUUAGGGAUUACCUGCACAGUUAGAAACGGGGUGAGUUUAUGAAAACUCAGUGUGUAAUCCCAAUAGCAAACAAACAGUGAAAACGUAGUGUUAGUACAAUCUGGGCCAAAGCCCUAUUUAGUCUUGGCAUAUACUGGGCCGAAGCCUUUCGUUUAACGGUUACUGGGCCGAAGCCUUUUUAUAAAUCAUAUCACUGGGCCGAAGCCUUAUCAUAAAUCAUAUCACUAGGCCGAAGCCUUACCAUAAAUCAUAUCUCUGGGUCGAAGCCUUUACUGUAAACUGUAUGGCCCUUAGGCCCAUUUCAAUAUCACAUGUAAUGUCAAUGGAUGUAUGCAAGCCCAUUUGGGGAGACUACUCGACCCAUCAUCCGCUACUCUCCACCUAUACCAACCAACACACCAUGUGGGGAAUAACUCAACCCACCCAACCAACACACCACUGCCAGCAUAGCUGCUUUAUCAUAUAUCUGGAGGCCUAGCCUCUUUAAUAACUGGGGCAAAGUCCUUUUCGGUAAACUGGGGCAAAGCCCUUUUCAAUAAACUGGGGCAUAAGCCCUUUUCGGUAGACUAGGGCAUAAGCCCUUUUCAAUAAACUGGGGCAUAAGCCCUUUUGCACUUCCUCCAUCCAUAUAAAAACCCAACCCAAUGCAACAUGUCAUGUGUGCAGAAUUUCAUGCCCAUAUUUGAAUAAACAAUCACAGUCAAGUCAUUCAUAUCACCAACAUAUAUUCACAAUCAAUCUGUCAACCACACAGUCUAAGUCAGUCACUUGCCCACAAGGGCAAAACAGUCAUUUUUCACAUUAUAAGGGUAUUUUCGUAAUUUUACCAAAUAUCAGGGUUUUCCAUGUUCAUUACAAUUAUCAAUAUUUCCAAGUGUUUAAACAAUGCUCUUUAACCCACUUUAUCAAAUUUGGGCUUUUGGGCCCAAAACCCCUAAUGGGCCCUACGAAUGCUGAUUUAGCCUACUUAACCCAAAUUUUAUAACAAUACUAACCGUGUUAACGUGCAACUUUUCCAAAUUCCAUUUUCUAUCAAUUCUACCCAAAUGGAUCCGAAAGCCCAUUGGGCCUAAUUUUAGCCCAUUGAGGCCCAACUUACCAUCGUGCACAAAAUUGAGUUCUUACCUGUUCCAUCGAUCCAAACACCAAUCUUAUCGUAUUUAUCGCAUCUAUACCCAAACGCAACAUUACAAGUUCUCGAAAUACCGGUAUUUUAGCAUUUCGGCUUCUCAGCAAAUAUUAAUCUAAGCUAUUACGAGGGUUAGUACACACAUGUUGCGGGUUGAAGUUGAAACGUUUCUAAAAUCAAUCGCCUACGAUAACCACCACCUAUCACUCAAACUUAACUAAUCCAAUAUCAAUAUAUGUAAAUUCUAAGCACAUCAAUCAUACGGAACAUAAGGGCAUAUUCGUCAUUUUACCAUACAGUGGUAUUACGGUCACUUUACCCUACAGGGGCUUUACGGUCACUUUACCCUACAGGGGCUUUACGGUCUUUUUACCUAAUAGGGGUAUUUUAGUCAUUUCACCCUGCAAGGGUGUUUUGGUAAAUCUACAAACCAAGGGUAUUUCAGAAAUUUUGUAAACUAAUGGUAUUUCUAUAAUUUUUAGAAAGUCAAGGGUAUUUUUGUAAUUUUGUAAAUCAGGGGUAUUUUGGUAAUUUUAGAAAUUGAGGGUAUUUCGGUAAUUUUACAAACCAGUGGUAUUUUGGUAACUUUACAAACUAGGGGUAUUUUGGUAAUUUUACAAACUAGGGGUAUUUUAGCAAUUUUACAGACCAGGGUAUUUUGGUAAUUUUACUGAUCGAGGGUAUUUUGGUAAUUUUGUAAACCAAUGGUAUUUUAGUAAUUUUAUAAAUCGAGGGUAAAAUAGUAAUUCUGUAAAUCAAGGGUAAAAUAGUAAUUCUAUAAAUCGAUGGUAAAAUGGUAAUUCUGUAAAUCAAGGGUAAAAUAGUAAUUCCAUAAAUCGAGGGUAAAACAGUAAUUCUAUAAAUCGGGGGUACUUUAGUAAUUUUACAAGUCGAGGGUAUUUCAAUAAUUGGUAAACUAAAGUAUUCUAAACAUGGAUAAUAAUACUAAUGGCCCUAAAGCCCAUUCUCGGCCUAAAUGGGCCCAUACGCUCGUGUGGCCCUUUUAGCCCAAAUCUAGCCACAAAUAUUAGAUUCACCUAGCCUAGCCCAAUAUUUACUACACAAUCAAACAACUUAUCCAAUUGGGCCCAUAGGCCCAUUAGGCCCACAUGACCCCUUUCGGCCCAUCGCGGCCCGAAGUAGCCAUCCUACAGCUAGAGUAGUAAGAAAUACACACCUGAUAGGAGACUGGAGUUAAUCCACGCUCCGAGCACUCUUAGCCGACGCCCAACCCAAACGAGCACGUCAUACAGCGAAAGGGAUCAGCCAAGAAAGGUACCUCUACUCUCCUCAUGGUUCUCUCUAUUUAAAGCCAGCUUCGCAUCCACUCUUAUGUUAGCUUCCCGAUGUGGGAUCCCUCCAAUAUUAGAGUUUAAAUUCAACACCAAC